GUGUAAUGCCUUUCAACAUAAGAAGGAAGUCAUGCCAGUCAUCUAUUGUGUAUACCCCACCUAGUGCACUCUCAACAUAUAGUCCAAUAUAGUGUGAUAGAGAGUUUAAUAUCUUUAUUUGUGUUUUCUAAGUUGAUUGAAAUAAGUCUCUUAUGUAUAUAUCUUCUUGGGUUAAAGGGCUGCCAGGAUAAUAUACCUCUAUAUUAACCAAAAAGUACAAAUACACAAUCUGA
Non-coding RNA from Pelobates cultripes (western spadefoot toad), 233 nucleotides. Lineage: Eukaryota; Metazoa; Chordata; Amphibia; Anura; Pelobatidae. The record is from the annotation of a GenBank genome assembly.